This 2376-nucleotide long non-coding RNA is filed under the name Gallus gallus (chicken). The record is from RNAcentral. Lineage: Eukaryota; Metazoa; Chordata; Aves; Galliformes; Phasianidae.
UCUCUAAUUUUAAGACAGACUUACUGAGUCUAGUUCAGUUACCGAGUUCUGGUUACCGAGUCCAAGUUAAGACUGUAACUGCGUUCAGAGAAGGCACACAGAGAGCUGGGUGCUGCCCAACAGCUUUCAGUCUCAGCUGACGAAGCAAGAAGUAACCAAGUGCUGUUCACUUUCACGCUGGAGGCAAACAGAAGCACAGCCCACAGCAGCCCUAAUGCUUCUGGGUUGGGGCCCAGCUUUGGCGUGAUAAAACUCAAGUGCUCCCUUUCCAAUGCAAAGCAAAGAGCUGACUGAUGGGGCCACCUGUUUCUUAUCAUCUUCACAACUCAAAGGAACAGAAAGGGAAAACGUGGGAAGUCACGGAGUGGCAGCAGUUGAAAGCUGAGGUAAGAUGAGGUUGUGUAACAGCAGUGGUAAGGAAAUUCAAAAUCCAUCUUCAACAAACGGGUCUCCUCAGAUGUACAUGCACGUGUCUGUGUGUAAAAUCAGUGUGACCAAUUGCACUCUCUGGGUGCUAAGAUACUGCAUGCCAGCUCCCCCCCUCUUCCACCCAGAUCCAAGAAAGGCAAUUAAGCUGCUUUAUUUCAUUUACUUGAAACUUGCAAGAACGAAUGCUCAUCUGAAACAGCCUUGUCUGGAAAGGUUCUUCAUUACUUCAAACACGAAGCGACAAGUGAACAUUUUGUUUCUCCUUGCAGAAGGCAGACAGAGCAGUGGCUGCUCUAGCUUAGGUGGCUGAUCUGUCUUCUGCCAGCUGGAGACCUCAGCAAGUAAAGAUGGAGGGAAGGAAGUUCUCACUGAACACACGCAGUUGUUCAGCAGACUUCAAGGUAGCAGCAGGAGUUAAGUGAAUGGGAACAUCUCUGUGCACACGGAGAUGCAUCACAGUACCUGCACUGACCCACUGCUGCUCCACGUCCUCUCCCAGAGGAGUUAACACUGAGUUCAGAAAAACAACUUCUGGCUCAUAAAACUGCCCUGUGUCUGCUCAGCCCAACUGCUGUCCUAUGUGUUUCAGUGCUGAAAGGGGCACUGAGGAAGAGAAAAGCUGAUUUUAUUUUAGCUUAUCUUGGCAGAUGACAGAUGCAUUUCUCCUCUGCUUGUUUUUACAAUUUGUGAUGUUUUCGGUGUCCAAGUAAUUUUAGAGCAAUGUGCUUUUUAAGAUGGAAGCUGCAGAAUUCAUUCAAUACAGACCACAGUAGCAGCUGAGAAGCAUUAAUCAAUCUAAGCCACAUUGUGGUAACCAAAAAAGGCUAGAAACAGAUCACUGAAUUAAACAUUGAGCUUUCAGGUACUUUAAAAAAACUCUAUCAACAAUAUGAUACACAAUUUACUUUUGCAUUUCAAAGCACUGCAUCAAAUUAAUUGCUUUUUAAAGAGUCAACUGAAGAAGCUGGGCAAGGAACAGUAUCUGAAAUAGAAGAAUUUUAUGUAGACCAUUCAGUGUUAAAAACCAGAGAAUCAAACGUAAGUUCAAAUUAAAGAUCAGUUUCAAACAGAAGACAUUUGAUUAAAAGUUUCUUUUAACAUUUAGAAAUUUAAAUACAUUUACCUAAAGAUGGUUAAUCUCCAUCUCUAUGUUACUAUACAAUAGCUUAAAGCUACUUUUAAAUGCUAGUUCUAUGUUAAUGUGAAGUUACAGAACCGCAUUCUUAGUUAACGUAAAUUGGUUAUUAGUUGGGUGACUGUAUUUCCUCCCACCCUGAAGUAAGUUUUAAAAAGUGGAGCUUUACAAUGUCUCAGAUAAUAGUUUUCAAAUGAGUAGUUUGGAAUAAUUCCCGACAGUUCUAUAGGAGGUAUUUUGUACAGUUUGGAGAGCAACUCCAUAUAAAGUUCUAUUGCAACUGAGCAUUCACAGUAUGCCACAGUCCAUACAUAUUACUACAUAUACAUAUCAGGUUUGUAAACAUUGGAAGAAUACACAGAACAUAGUACCACGAUCCUCUGGUACUGCUGAAAGGAAGAUGAGGUAACAUUCAUAUAAUCUCAAAGUCCACAGAGGUCCUGACUGAGUAGUUAAAACAGCUGCCAGCGCUUCUGUUUCAUAGUGUGUGUUAAGGCUUUCUACUUUAUGAUCUGCUAAGGCUGGAUUCGUUAGCUCUCAAUAUCCCAACUGCAUCUUUAACAGCGUGGUAUAUGACAUUCUUCACCUGCAAUUUAUCUUCGUGGUUUGUAUGCGUAUGUGACAGAUAUCUAAAUUCCUGAGUGAGCCAGAAGCAAUGCUUGACGUGCUCUGGGGAUACAAAGUCUUCUGCAACUUUAAUACAACUGUACAAAUUAUGAACCUGGAGAGAACAAACAAACAUUAGCCAAAUAUGCAAAGUCUGCCCAAGUGGUCAGGCUGCAAACAGUGCCAGUGGUCCUUGCCUGAUGCGG